AUUGAACGCUGGCGGCAUGCCUAACACAUGCAAGUCGAACGAGGUAGCAAUACCUAGUGGCGGACGGGUGAGUAACACGUAGGAAUCUGCCUUAAAGUGGGGGACAACCCGGGGAAACUCGGGCUAAUACCGCAUAAUCCCUAAGGGGUAAAGGGGCCGAAAGGUCUCGCUUUAAGAUGAGCCUGCGGCAGAUUAGCUAGUUGGUAGGGUAACGGCCUACCAAGGCAAUGAUCUGUAGCUGGUCUGAGAGGACGAUCAGCCACACUGGGACUGAGACACGGCCCAGACUCCUACGGGAGGCAGCAGUGGGGAAUAUUGGACAAUGGGGGCAACCCUGAUCCAGCAAUGCCGCGUGUGUGAAGAAGGCCUUCGGGUUGUAAAGCACUUUUAGUGGGGAAGAAAAUUUGCGUGCUAAUACCACGCAAGCAUGACGUUACCCGCAGAAAAAGCACCGGCUAACUCUGUGCCAGCAGCCGCGGUAAGACAGAGGGUGCAAGCGUUAAUCGGAAUUACUGGGCGUAAAGCGCACGUAGGUGGAUUAUUAAGUUGGAUGUGAAAUCCCUGGGCUUAACCUAGGAAUUGCAUUCAAAACUGCUA
RNAcentral lists this ribosomal RNA (597 nucleotides) under uncultured bacterium. Its description in RNAcentral is "bacterial SSU rRNA". It matches the Rfam family "Bacterial small subunit ribosomal RNA", at positions 28 to 638 of the family's 1533-position model. The record is from RNAcentral.